AUUGAACGCUGGCGGCAGGCUUAACACAUGCAAGUCGAGCGGUAACAUUUCUAGCUUGCUAGAAGAUGACGAGCGGCGGACGGGUGAGUAAUGCUUGGGAAUAUGCCUUAUGGUGGGGGACAACAGUUGGAAACGACUGCUAAUACCGCAUAAUGUCUACGGACCAAAGGGGGGGAUCUUCGGACCUCUCGCCAUUUGAUUAGCCCAAGUGAGAUUAGCUAGUUGGUGAGGUAAUGGCUCACCAAGGCGACGAUCUCUAGCUGGUUUGAGAGGAUGAUCAGCCACACUGGGACUGAGACACGGCCCAGACUCCUACGGGAGGCAGCAGUGGGGAAUAUUGCACAAUGGGCGCAAGCCUGAUGCAGCCAUGCCGCGUGUGUGAAGAAGGCCUUCGGGUUGUAAAGCACUUUCAGUAAGGAGGAAAGGGAUGUAGUUAAUAACUGCAUUCUGUGACGUUACUUACAGAAGAAGCACCGGCUAACUUCGUGCCAGCAGCCGCGGUAAUACGAGGGGUGCAAGCGUUAAUCGGAAUUACUGGGCGUAAAGCGUUCGUAGGCGGUUGAUUAAGCAAGAUGUGAAAGCCCAGGGCUCAACCUUGGAACUGCAUUUUGAACUGGUCAACUAGAGUACUGUAGAGGGUGGUGGAAUUUCCAGUGUAGCGGUGAAAUGCGUAGAGAUUGGAAGGAACAUCAGUGGCGAAAGCGGCCACCUGGACAGAUACUGACGCUGAGGAACGAAAGCGUGGGGAGCGAACAGGAUUAGAUACCCUGGUAGUCCACGCCGUAAACGAUGUCAACUAGCCGUUUGUGUCCUAGAGACGUGAGUGGCGCAGC
This 833-nucleotide ribosomal RNA is filed under the name uncultured bacterium. Its description in RNAcentral is "bacterial SSU rRNA". It matches the Rfam family "Bacterial small subunit ribosomal RNA", at positions 28 to 852 of the family's 1533-position model. The record is from RNAcentral.